Non-coding RNA from Potamilus streckersoni, 77 nucleotides. NCBI's taxonomy places the organism in Eukaryota, Metazoa, Mollusca, Bivalvia, Unionida, Unionidae. The record is from the annotation of a GenBank genome assembly.
GACCGCUCCGGUGGCCUAGUGGCUAGAGCGUCCGCAUCGGAUGCGGGAGGUCGUGGUUUCGAACCCUAGCCGUGUCA